GACGAACGCUGGCGGCGUGCUUAACACAUGCAAGUCGAACGAGACGAUUGAAAGCUUGCUUUUGAAAGUCGAGUGGCAAACGGGUGAGUAACGCGUAGACAACCUGCCUUUGAGAUGGGGACAACAGUUCGAAAGGACUGCUAAUACCGAAUGUUGUAUAUUUUCCACAUGGAAGAUAUAUUAAAGAUGGCCUCUAUUUAUAAGCUAUCGCUCAAAGAUGGGUCUCAGUCUGAUUAGCUGGUUGGUGGGGUAACGGCCUACCAAGGCGACGAUCAGUAACCGGUCUGAGAGGAUGAACGGCCACAUUGGGACUGAGACACGGCCCAGACUCCUACGGGAGGCAGCAGUGGGGAAUCUUCCACAAUGGACGAAAGUCUGAUGGAGCAACGCCGCGUGAGUGAAGAAGGGUUUCGGCUCGUAAAGCUCUGUUGUCGGGGACGAAUGUGCAGUAUUUGAAUAAAGUACUGCAAUGACGGUACCUGACGAGGAAGCCACGGCUAACUACGUGCCAGCCGCCGCAGUAA
Molecule: ribosomal RNA, 524 nt
Filed under: uncultured bacterium
Lineage: Bacteria
Description: partial 16S ribosomal RNA
Rfam family: Bacterial small subunit ribosomal RNA
Source: RNAcentral